UGCCCGGAUGGUGGAAUGCAGACACGGCGAGCUUAAACCUCGCUGCCCCUUCGCGGGCGUGCCGGUUCAAGUCCGGCUCCGGGCACUUU
This 89-nucleotide transfer RNA is filed under the name Streptomyces turgidiscabies Car8. RNAcentral describes it as "tRNA-Leu". It matches the Rfam family "tRNA". Rfam says of the family: Transfer RNA (tRNA) molecules are approximately 80 nucleotides in length. Their secondary structure includes four short double-helical elements and three loops (D, anti-codon, and T loops). Lineage: Bacteria; Bacillati; Actinomycetota; Actinomycetes; Kitasatosporales; Streptomycetaceae. The record is from RNAcentral.